Molecule: ribosomal RNA, 478 nt
Filed under: uncultured bacterium
Lineage: Bacteria
Description: partial 16S ribosomal RNA
Rfam family: Bacterial small subunit ribosomal RNA
Source: RNAcentral
GACGAACGCUGGCGGCGUGCUUAACACAUGCAAGUCGAGCGGUAAGGCCCUUCGGGGUACACGAGCGGCGAACGGGUGAGUAACACGUGGGUGAUCUGCCCUGCACUUCGGGAUAAGCCUGGGAAACUGGGUCUAAUACCGGAUAUGACCAUUGAUCGCAUGGUUGGUGGUGGAAAGAUUUAUCGGUGCAGGAUGGGCCCGCGGCCUAUCAGCUUGUUGGUGGGGUAAUGGCCUACCAAGGCGACGACGGGUAGCCGGCCUGAGAGGGCGAUCGGCCACACUGGGACUGAGACACGGCCCAGACUCCUACGGGAGGCAGCAGUGGGGAAUAUUGCACAAUGGGCGAAAGCCUGAUGCAGCGACGCCGCGUGAGGGAUGACGGCCUUCGGGUUGUAAACCUCUUUCAGCAGGGACGAAGCGCAAGUGACGGUACCUGCAGAAGAAGCACCGGCCAACUACGUGCCAGCAGCCGCCGUAA